This 220-nucleotide ribosomal RNA is filed under the name uncultured bacterium. Its description in RNAcentral is "partial 16S ribosomal RNA". It matches the Rfam family "Bacterial small subunit ribosomal RNA", at positions 99 to 334 of the family's 1533-position model. The record is from RNAcentral.
CGGACGGCUGAGUAAUGCACAGGAACGUACCUCGCAGUGGGGAAUAGCCCUUCGAAAGAAGGGGUAAUACCGCAUAGUCUCGCAAGAGUAAAGCCGCAAGGCGCUGUGAGAACGGCCUGUGUCCUAUCAGGUAGUUGGUGAGGUAAUGGCUCACCAAGCCUAUGACGGGUAGCUGGUCUGAGAGGAUGACCAGCCAGAUCGGGACUGAGACACGGCCCGA